RNAcentral lists this ribosomal RNA (717 nucleotides) under Salmonella enterica. Its description in RNAcentral is "partial 23S ribosomal RNA". It matches the Rfam family "Bacterial large subunit ribosomal RNA", at positions 1 to 655 of the family's 2925-position model. The record is from RNAcentral. Lineage: Bacteria; Pseudomonadati; Pseudomonadota; Gammaproteobacteria; Enterobacterales; Enterobacteriaceae. RNAcentral also lists the same sequence under 1 other name.
GGUUAAGCGACUAAGCGUACACGGUGGAUGCCCUGGCAGUCAGAGGCGAUGAAGGGCGUGCUAAUCUGCGAUAAGCGCCGGUAAGGUGAUAUGAACCGUUAUAACCGGCGAUACCCGAAUGGGGAAACCCAGUGUGAUUCGUCACACUAUCAUUAACUGAAUCCAUAGGUUAAUGAGGCGAACCGGGGGAACUGAAACAUCUAAGUACCCCGAGGAAAAGAAAUCAACCGAGAUUCCCCCAGUAGCGGCGAGCGAACGGGGAGGAGCCCAGAGCCUGAAUCAGCAUAUGUGUUAGUGGAAGCGUCUGGAAAGGCGCGCGAUACAGGGUGACAGCCCCGUACACAAAAGCGCAUGUGCUGUGAGCUCGAUGAGUAGGGCGGGACACGUGGUAUCCUGUCUGAAUAUGGGGGGACCAUCCUCCAAGGCUAAAUACUCCUGACUGACCGAUAGUGAACCAGUACCGUGAGGGAAAGGCGAAAAGAACCCCGGCGAGGGGAGUGAAAAAGAACCUGAAACCGUGUACGUACAAGCAGUGGGAGCCCCACCACCAAAGCAUUCUCUGGUGUUGAAGGCCCUGCAAAGCAGAAUCGCGGUGGCGGAGCGUCGUUUGCGACGCCCAACACACAAAACAAGCGGUGAGUGCUUUGGGGUGGGGUGACUGCGUACCUUUUGUAUAAUGGGUCAGCGACUUAUAUUCUGUAGCAAGGUUAACCGAAU